Molecule: transfer RNA, 70 nt
Filed under: Cheilinus fasciatus (redbreast wrasse)
Lineage: Eukaryota; Metazoa; Chordata; Actinopteri; Labriformes; Labridae
Description: tRNA-Pro
Rfam family: tRNA
About the family: Transfer RNA (tRNA) molecules are approximately 80 nucleotides in length. Their secondary structure includes four short double-helical elements and three loops (D, anti-codon, and T loops).
Source: RNAcentral
CAAAGAAUAGUCUAAUUUAGGACCUUGGCUUUGGGAGCUGGAAGUGGAGGUUAGAAUCCUUCUUCUUUGA